UGGCGACACCGCGCGGAACCGAAGCCGUUCUCAGUUCGGAUCGGAGUCUGCAACCCGACUCCGUGAAGCUGGAUUCGCUAGUAAUCGCGCAUCAGCCAUGGCGCGGUGAAUACGUUCCCGGGCCUUGUACACACCGCCCGUCAAGCCAUGGGAGCCGGGGGUGCUUGAAGUGCGUCGCCGCAAGGCGCGCCCUAGAGCAAAACCGGUGACUGGGGCUAAGUCGUAACAAGGUAUC
Molecule: ribosomal RNA, 235 nt
Filed under: uncultured bacterium
Lineage: Bacteria
Description: partial 16S ribosomal RNA
Rfam family: Bacterial small subunit ribosomal RNA
Source: RNAcentral